Molecule: ribosomal RNA, 253 nt
Filed under: uncultured bacterium
Lineage: Bacteria
Description: partial 16S ribosomal RNA
Rfam family: Bacterial small subunit ribosomal RNA
Source: RNAcentral
UACGUAGGGUGCGAGCGUUGUCCGGAAUUAUUGGGCGUAAAGCGUGCGUAGACGGUUAUGUAAGUCAGGUGUGAAAGCCCCGGGCUCAACCUGGGAAUUGCAUUUGAGACUGCAUAGCUAGGGUGCGGAAGAGGGAAGCGGAAUUUCCGGUGUAGCGGUGAAAUGCGUAGAUAUCGGAAGGAACAUCAGUGGCGAAAGCGGCUUCCUGGUCCAGCACCGACGUUCAGGCACGAAAGCGUGGGGAGCAAACAGG